GAUGAACGCUGGCGGCGUGCCUAAUACAUGCAAGUCGAGCGAACAGAUGAGGAGCUUGCUCCUCUGACGUUAGCGGCGGACGGGUGAGUAACACGUGGAUAACCUCCCUAUAAGACUGGGAUAACUUCGGGAAACCGGAGCUAAUACCGGAUAAUAUAUUUAACCGCAUGGUUCAAUAGUGAAAGACGGUUUUGCUGUCACUUAUAGAUGGAUCCGCGCCGCAUUAGCUAGUUGGUAAGGUAACGGCUAAACAAGGCAACGAUGAGUAGCCGACCUGAGAGGGUGACCGGCCACAUUGGAACUGAGACACGGCCCAGACUCCUACGGGAGGCAGCAGUAGGGAAUCUUCCGCAAUGGGCGAAAGUCUGACGGAGCAACGCCGCGUGAGUGAUGAAGGUCUUCGGAUUGUAAAGCUCUGUUAUUAGGGAAGAAAAACUUUCUAAGUAAUAAUGAACGGCUUGAAGGUACCCAAAAAAAAAGCCACGGCCAAAUUCGUG
RNAcentral lists this ribosomal RNA (497 nucleotides) under uncultured bacterium. RNAcentral describes it as "partial 16S ribosomal RNA". It matches the Rfam family "Bacterial small subunit ribosomal RNA", at positions 28 to 507 of the family's 1533-position model. The record is from RNAcentral.